ACAUAUAAUGUUAAUCCUUUACAGUUCUUCACAUCUUUAAAUUCAAGAAAUAUUUUAGUAUUCUGCUUUUUAUUAAUUUGCCUUGCAUACAACUUUCACAGUUGAAAUAUCGAUCAUUGCGUAAAAUAUACAUUUGUUCACGACAGAGAUGGAUUGAAAAAAUAUUGUCAAAGCUUAUAAUUUGUCACGGGGGAUUAAGCGAUAAUCUGCGGACGGUUGUCAGAUAUACAGCCAAAUAAAAUUUACGCAUGUAGAUAUUGUUAAUCCGUAUUUUUUUCUUUCGAUGUCAUUUUUAUUUUUAUUUUUUUGUAACUUAUAGGAAUCGCAGUGUAGCGCGGAAUUUGAAUGGCACACCGAAGUGAUCUGCGCGAAACAUGCCAAUUCUCGAGAUGUGGAUCGAGAAGAAGUACCUUCCUCCGGAAUUCUCUUGGUCUCUUCUAGUCACGGUAAACACGCUGGAGCGAUAGCUGGCAUAGUGCUAACUGUGAUCGCGGUGUUGGUCGCUUUAAUUUAUUUCCGAAAUCCGGAGAAAAGAGCGUGCUUUCGUUCGUGGAUAAAUCUGCUUAGUUUCAGAAGAGGUGCAAGCCGCAUCCAGUAUUGUAGAGUCGAUACGACUGAGGAGGCUAGACUUUUGUUCGACGCUUCCGAUCCCACGCAGUGUCAAACGGAUAGCGACGAUGAUCUUCUGCAUGCAUAGCAAAAUAACGUUAUAAUUUUCGUUCUAAAAUUAUAGAUUUUACCGAAUUACCGAAUUAUAAUAAUUUAUUUUCAAUAUUUUUCUGUAAAUCGUCGAAUAUAAAUCAUCUUGAAAAUCAUAUGGGACAAAGUAUGAAAUUAAUACAUUACAUUAAUAAUAUUUGUGUGCUACAAAA
Long non-coding RNA from Formica exsecta, 872 nucleotides. RefSeq lists it as uncharacterized. The record is from RefSeq and is a predicted model, not a curated record. Lineage: Eukaryota; Metazoa; Arthropoda; Insecta; Hymenoptera; Formicidae. The transcript has 3 exons.